Molecule: unclassified non-coding RNA, 363 nt
Filed under: uncultured fungus
Lineage: Eukaryota; Fungi
Description: sequence contains ITS1
Rfam family: 5.8S ribosomal RNA (bases 1-100)
Source: RNAcentral
UAGACGCGAAAAGUGUCAUGACAUGCCGACUUUGUGAAUGACCAAUUUUUGAACGCACCUUGCACCUAUCCAUGGGAUGGGUGUGCUUGUGUGAGUGUGGGACGGAGCUUGGUUAAAGAUUGCCAGAGAUGAGGCGUGCGACCAGAGCUGCCUUGAAAGACAUGGCGAGCACGUGAUGAGCGCCCUGGGAUACAUCUACAGGCCGCGAGACACGUGGACGUCAACGAGAGAGGGAGUGUGAGUGAGUGAGAUCUUAAAAGGGAGAGAUAACAUGCUCUCUCUUUACGCUUUCACCCACCACACCCCCACCUCUACACACUACAUACCCACCUCACAUCAAGCAAGACCACCCGCUGAACUUAA